UACGUAGGGGGCAAGCGUUGUCCGGAUUUACUGGGCGUAAAGAGCGUGUAGGCGGCUAGGUAGGUCCGUUGUGAAAACUCGAGGCUCAACCUCGAGACGUCGAUGGAAACCAUCUAGCUAGAGUCCGGAAGAGGAGAGUGGAAUUCCUGGUGUAGCGGUGAAAUGCGCAGAUAUCAGGAAGAACACCCGUGGCGAAGGCGGCUCUCUGGUACGUGACUGACGCUGAGACGCGAAAGCGUGGGGAGCGAACAGG
RNAcentral lists this ribosomal RNA (253 nucleotides) under uncultured bacterium. RNAcentral's name for it is "partial 16S ribosomal RNA". It matches the Rfam family "Bacterial small subunit ribosomal RNA", at positions 524 to 776 of the family's 1533-position model. The record is from RNAcentral.